GGCCCUUGAACUCAGACUGCAAACCUGUACUCGGCACNUCGCCCGGGGCUU
Molecule: transfer RNA, 51 nt
Filed under: Rhinophis phillipsi (Phillipps' earth snake)
Lineage: Eukaryota; Metazoa; Chordata; Lepidosauria; Squamata; Uropeltidae
Description: tRNA-Cys
Source: RNAcentral